Molecule: unclassified non-coding RNA, 415 nt
Filed under: Hevea brasiliensis (rubber tree)
Lineage: Eukaryota; Viridiplantae; Streptophyta; Magnoliopsida; Malpighiales; Euphorbiaceae
Source: RNAcentral
GUUGUACAUAUCGAACCCUUUUUAUGUCCUCCAGUAUCAAUGAGCUAUUGAGUACACCGGUUUUCAUUUAGCCAUAAUUAUCAUCUCUUAUCAAGUGAUCUUAAUCAAGAAACCUUGAAAGUGACAGGAGGUAGAAACAAAUAGAAGCCGUGGUAGGUAGAAAUAAAAUCCUUGCUUUAUGCUUUCAUGGAAUAAAUUAGUCCCAAUAUAAUAGGACGUCAACAUUUGCAGAGUAAUAUUAGUAAAUAGGAUAAACUCAUUUCCUAACGAGUCUAGGUUUAGGAAUUGCCAGACACUUCAUUUGAUGAAGAAAAAGGAAGUUCUGAUUACUCUCCGAACCCAUAUCCUAACGAGUCAACUUGAAUUUCCCUCUGAUAUUUCCUUUCGUCAUUUUUACACAGACAAGUAAGAAAGA